RNAcentral lists this ribosomal RNA (253 nucleotides) under uncultured bacterium. RNAcentral's name for it is "partial 16S ribosomal RNA". It matches the Rfam family "Bacterial small subunit ribosomal RNA", at positions 524 to 776 of the family's 1533-position model. The record is from RNAcentral.
GACGAACCGUGCGAACGUUGUUCGGAAUCACUGGGCGUAAAGGGUGCGUAGGCGGGUCUUUAAGUCAGGGGUGAAAUCCUGGAGCUCAACUCCAGAACUGCCUUUGAUACUGAGGAUCUUGAGUUCGGGAGAGGUGAGUGGAACUGCGAGUGUAGAGGUGAAAUUCGUAGAUAUUCGCAAGAACACCAGUGGCGAAGGCGGCCGACUGGUCCGGUUCUGACGCUGAGGCGCGAAAGCGUGGGGAGCAAACAGG